This 253-nucleotide ribosomal RNA is filed under the name uncultured bacterium. RNAcentral describes it as "partial 16S ribosomal RNA". It matches the Rfam family "Bacterial small subunit ribosomal RNA", at positions 524 to 776 of the family's 1533-position model. The record is from RNAcentral.
UACGUAGGGUGCAAGCGUUGUCCGGAAUUAUUGGGCGUAAAGCGCACGUAGGCGGAUGUGUCAGUCAGGGGUGAAAUCCCGGAGCUCAACUUCGGAACUGCCUUUGAUACAGCACGUCUUGAGUCCGGAAGAGGUGGGUGGAAUUCCUAGUGUAGAGGUGAAAUUCGUAGAUAUUAGGAAGAACACCGGUGGCGAAGGCGGCCCACUGGUCCGGUACUGACGCUGAGGUGCGAAAGCGUGGGGAGCAAACAGG